GCCAAAUCUGCUUCAGACUCUCCCUCUCCCUACUCAUGCAUACUCACACUCUCUCAAAUAUUUUUUUUUUUAAGAAACCAAAACACUGAAUUGUAUGCCCAUCACCAAAUACAGGGUAUUCCAGAGUUCAUUAGGGGGCUCAGCACCUACUGAUAAAUUAGUUCUCUCCACCACCUCAAACUAGAAUCAGAACUGGCUUGGGAGUCAGGAGAUCAAGUUCUACACCCCAGUUGUCCCCAACAUUUAUGUGACUUUAGGGAAGUUUCUUUCUCUGUCUGGACCUUAAUUUCCUUCUCUAUAAUAUGGAUGCAUUUGGACAGAGAGGGGAGCAUUUGAAGGGCCUGACUCUCCAGAAUCCUUUCUUUCCCCAAGCUUUAUUGUCAGACCUCGAUAAUACGUAUCCUCCUCCUCAUUGCUUUCCAAUUUCAAAGCAUUUUCACAUAUGUCAUUUGAUCCUCAUAACCACCUUUAAGGUAGAUAGGUAUUAUUCCCAUUUUCAGAUGAAGAAAUUGAACCUGAGAGGACUUGCCCAAGUUCAUACAGUGGGUAAGUGUUGGAGAUGGGACUCAGCUCCAGGUCUUCAAAUCCUAGAUCCUGGGUUCUCUGCCCACACUAUCACACUGUCUUUGCAUGUUUAGCCUCUCUCUGGGAACUCAAGAGAGCAAUGUCUAGCAGCCUUAGUGCAAACACUAUAUACCUUUGUUUGGACAAAGCAAGAGAGCAGAGGUGCAGGGAUCUAGGGUCUUCUCUGAUUGCUCAUGAACCUGUCUAUACUGGCACAGCAGCAGUCUAUGCAUAGAAGUACACCUCUACAUUGGUGUGGACACCAAGGCUAUGACAUCACAGAUAUACAUAAAGGUACACUUGACCUCUUCAACAGGUGAUAUAGGGCACUCCUUGUUACCAGAAUGGUAGAGAAGCUGUGGGAGGCCAGGACUCCGAUUCUGUUCUCUAAGUCCACAAGACUUAUUACCUCUCUAGUGAGACCUAAAGAAAAAAGGGGCAAGUCCUCAAUCCUUAGUAUAUGGGAGGAACGAGAAGGGAAGAACAGGGAACUAACCUCCCUGCCCUUGCUAAAGCAGAGGCCAGGAAAGGGAAUAUCGGUGGAACCAGGGCUUUGCUCCUAAGCUUAGAGAGCUGGGCCUAAACCUUAAGGAAUAUCAGUGAAACCACUUCUGUCAAACCCAGUUCAGCCCUUAUGAGUCACAGUGCCUGGGCUCUAGUAACACUACCAGCUUUGGCAAGUCACUCGCCCUCUAUAAUUCAGUCUGCUUAUCCAAAAUGUGGCUAGUGACUGCUGAGUCUAGCUCAGAGGGGUGCUUGGAGGUUUCCAGUUCAUAAACAAACUGAAAUGUCUUUAAAUCUACUUUAUGAACACACGCUUUCAUUCUUCCACGGCUGGCAAGGAAGAAGGGCCAAAGCUUGAGCACACUUGGGAGGUGACCCACUCACUCCUUUCCAGGCAGCAGGUAAUUAUGUACAGGUUGGGUAGCAAGAGGGCAACAAGCCAGACAGAAUUGUCUUCAGGAAAGGCUGGGCUGCCCUGGGGUAGAGGGGCUAACGAUGCUCACUUACACUCCUUUUUCAUUUGACCAACAUUUACCAAGCAUUUAAUAUAGGACAAGUGCCAUUCUGUGUGAAGAUAAGGCAGUGAAGGAAAGAGAAAAUGGCCCUGCUGUUACAGAGUUAAUCUUCUAGUUGCGGGAGACCUACAAGUAAAUAGUAAACAUGUCAAGCAUUGGCAGGUUCUGUGCUGAAUUAAACUGGAUAAGGUUAGUAGCAGUAGUAGGGAGGUGCUGCUUCAUACAGGAUGUCAGUAGGCCUCUCUGAUAGAUAACAGGAUGUCUGAGUAUAGACAUUAAGAAGUGAGAGGACAGUCUGGGGGACAGCCACACUUUAGGUCUAGGCUAGUGGACACUAGAAUUCUGGAGACACACAGACACAUCCAUGGCAACAGAGACAACUACCAUGCUGGUUCAGUCUGCCCCCCAUUUGGACUUAUUCUCCACUCUUCUUUCCUGUUCCCUAUAGAUUGCAUCCCUGGGUCAGCCUUGCCAUCUGCCUUUUGGUUAUGUUCAGCCAAAGGCCCCAGAAGACUGAACAGGAUAAAAGAGAGGUAGGAUAUGGAAAAUCCCACUGUUUGGCCCAUUCUGACAGUGGCUGUGUUCUUCUGUACUAUGAUGUCCAUCUGCCAUCCAUAGCCCCUUCUAGAAACCAUCCUCCCCACAAAGCCUUGCAAGAUUAGCCUUCCAGGGACGGCUGGGUGGCUCAGCGGUUGAGUGCCUGUCUUUGGUUCAGGUCGUGAUCCUGCGAUCUCAGGAUCCGGGAUCGAGUCCCACAUCAGGCUCCCUGCAUGGAGCCUGCUUUUCCCUCUGCCUAUGUGUCUGCCUCUGUCUCUCACUCUUUCAUGAAUACAUCUUAAAAAAAAAAAAAAAAAAAAAAUUAGCCUUCCAGAUGUGCAGUGUACCUACCUGUGAAGGAAUGUGUCCACAGACACCAGUUGGACAGCCUCUCUCACCAGGGCAGAAGAGGAGUUUGGGCACUAGAGACAUCAGUGCCAUCAGAGACAAAAUGUGGACAGUGGCCUCACUCAUCCCUCAAUGCUCUAGCUCUGUCCAAUUUUUCAUACUAGCGAAGGUAGGAACAGAAAUUGGGGGUCUAGAGUCCCUAGAGCCACUGCCCCAGAGGUAAAACCUUCUCCAAGAUCCAGGCUACCAACUUUGUACCUGAAGGAAUUCAUUGUACCUACCUCCAACAUUGAAUAGCUCAUUACCCAGUUUAUCUCCUUGACUGUACAUUUAUCACUAUUGGAAAGAGCAUAUUAUGUGUAGGCCUGCUCUACCACCUGAUUAGAAUAUAUGUGCUAUGGAAGCUCAGAACUUGUCUUGCUGUGACAGCAUCCUAGGCUCAAGUACAUAAAAAUCCAGUAAAUGUUUUUGAGUAAGUGGCAAUGGAAAGGAGUACAAAGCACCCCUGCUCUCCGAUACUCCCACAACGAUUGUGACAACUGCUUGGUACCAGGGGUGGGCAGAUACUCUCAAAAGUACUGCCCAUCUCCUUAGGUGUGUGGGGGGAGGAGCCCUAGAGCAGGACAACCAGGAUAACCUAGGAGUCGGAGAAUCCCUGUGUUCCACCAAGAUUGUUUCCCCCCUUUCUAGAAAUCCCCCACUUUUCCACUUCUAAGUAGCUAGAGCAGAACUUACCAGAUAUAGUGUGCAGGUCUCAGGAAAGCACAGGAGGAGUAAGAAGGCUAUGAACUCCUUGGCCAAAGGUUCUAAGAAGCUAAGCUCCUUCAGGUCUAAGCAGCAGCUGGAAAACUGCCAUCUGGACCUGGGGCUGGAAACUGGGAAGGCAACAUCUGUACCAAAGACCCAAAAUAUGGCUCACCUGGCCAUCUCUAUUAAGGGACCUAGAAAGCCUUGUAGGUAAGUACUACUGGUUAAUUUUCCUUCCAAUUAAAGGGCCUUAGACUAGACCCUACAACUAAGAUCUGAUUCAGGCCAAUCAGUCUCUUUGUCUGGUCUUAACUCUUCAGCCCUCAUUCUACUUCACCUUUGAUGCACUCUACCCCCACCCAUGUGUGGCCCAACUGCCACCAGAGCAAUCCUUUUGUUCCCCCUUCCCCCAAAAAACCCAAACAGCUCAGAAGUGCAUCAAUCGACCUUUAAUGUCCAAAAGAGGCAUGGAUGCAGAGCAUAGGAGAUGUGGUGGGGUCUGAGCCCCUGCUCCAGAAACGAGGGAGAGAUGAACACAAACCAGACAUUUCCAACUGGCCACACAAGUCUGGGAAGGCAGGGGGAAACACAGAUUUGGACAUUCAUAAAAAAAUAAAACCUAAAACCAAGCACUCAAUCUUGUGCCCACUGAAGGGUUUGAUAUAGGGAACUCAUUCACCAUCCCAGUACCCACCCUCCCCUGUCAGCAUCAAAGAGAAAGCUCGGCACACACUAAAGGCUUGGGGAGGGGGCAUUUUCCUGCCUCCCCAGGCCCCAAGGAUGGACUCAGGGGAAAAAAAGAAAAGAAUGAAUGAGCUGGAUCCCAACCACCCCCCUCCCAGAGUGCCAACCCUACAGAUGAGUUUUAAAUGCGAUUUACAAGAAUCAGCAGCUCAGUCGGCAAUGACUCCCCCGCCCCCCCCCCAUCCCUGUUUGACCAACAGACAAGAUUUCC
This 4170-nucleotide long non-coding RNA is filed under the name Canis lupus familiaris (dog). RNAcentral describes it as "lncRNA (ENSCAFG00000055112.1, ENSCAFG00845017437.1)". The record is from RNAcentral. Lineage: Eukaryota; Metazoa; Chordata; Mammalia; Carnivora; Canidae.